UACGGAGAGUGCAAGCGUUGCUCGGAAUUAUUGGGCGUAAAGGGCAAGUAGGUGGUCUCAUUUGUCUGGGGUGAAAGCCUUGAGCUUAACUCAAGAAGUGCCCCAGAAACGGUGAGACUAGAGUCCUGGAGAGGGUCGUGGAAUUCCCGGUGUAGCGGUGAAAUGCGUAGAGAUCGGAAGGAACACCAGUGGCGAAGGCGGCUACCUGGACAAAUACUGACGCUGAGGCGCGAGAGCGUGGGGAGCAAACAGG
This 253-nucleotide ribosomal RNA is filed under the name uncultured bacterium. Its description in RNAcentral is "partial 16S ribosomal RNA". It matches the Rfam family "Bacterial small subunit ribosomal RNA", at positions 524 to 776 of the family's 1533-position model. The record is from RNAcentral.